AGGAUAAUAGUUAAUUUAACAUUUAAUUUGCAUUUAAAAGAUAUUGAUUUUUCAAUUUAUCUUU
RNAcentral lists this transfer RNA (64 nucleotides) under Leptura arcuata. RNAcentral describes it as "tRNA-Ala". Lineage: Eukaryota; Metazoa; Arthropoda; Insecta; Coleoptera; Cerambycidae. The record is from RNAcentral.